This 1207-nucleotide ribosomal RNA is filed under the name Jahnula rostrata. RNAcentral describes it as "partial large subunit ribosomal RNA". It matches the Rfam family "Eukaryotic large subunit ribosomal RNA", at positions 100 to 993 of the family's 3401-position model. Lineage: Eukaryota; Fungi; Ascomycota; Dothideomycetes; Jahnulales; Aliquandostipitaceae. The record is from RNAcentral.
GGCAAGAGCUCAGAUUUGAAAUCUGGCCCCCUUGGGGGUCCGAGUUGUAAUCUGUAGGGGAUGCUUCGGAGCCAUACCCGGCCUAAGUUCCUUGGAACAGGACGUCGCAGAGGGUGAGAAUCCCGUAUGCGGCCGGCGGACGGUUCCGUGUGAAGCUCCUCCGACGAGUCGAGUUGUUUGGGAAUGCAGCUCUAAAUGGGAGGUAAAUUUCUUCUAAAGCUAAAUACCGGCCAGAGACCGAUAGCGCACAAGUAGAGUGAUCGAAAGAUGAAAAGCACUUUGGAAAGAGAGUUAAAAAGUACGUGAAAUUGUUGAAAGGGAAGCGCUUGCGACCAGACUCGACCGUUGCGGAUCAACCCUCCCCGCGGAGGGCUCACUCCGCCUCGGUCGGGCCAGCAUCGGUUCCAGCGGUCGGAUAAAGGCGUCGGGAAUGUGGCUCCUCUCGGGGAGUGUUAUAGCCCGUCGUGCAAUACGACCCGCCGGGACCGAGGACCGCGCUUAGGCAAGGAUGCUGGCGUAAUGGUCGUAAGCGGCCCGUCUUGAAACACGGACCAAGGAGUCUAACAUCUAUGCGAGUGUUCGGGUGUCAAACCCCUGCGCGUAAUGAAAGUGAACGGAGGUCGGAGCCCUAGGGCGCACGAUCGACCGAUCCUGAUGUCUUCGGAUGGAUUUGAGUAAGAGCAUAGCUGUUGGGACCCGAAAGAUGUGCGAGCUAUACCUGAGUAGGCCGAAGCCAGCGGAAACGCUGGUGGAGGGUCGCAGCGGUUCUGACGUGCAAAUCGAUCGUCAAACUUGGGUAUAGGGGCGAAAGACUAAUCGAGCCAUUGACGCGCUACUAGGUGGCUAAGAGGUGGGCUAAAAUAAAGGUACCCAUCUAGUCCGGCAUCUCGGGCAAUACUCUUCCAAAUUGCGGGAACGCUCUAGAAGCGUAGGCUACCGCGGAUGGGCCUAACGGCCCAUCGCAGCACCGGGAACCACACCCGGAGAUGGUAACAAUGCCUGCGAUUGAGCAACCACGCAGCCAAGUCCUAAUCCGUGUUUCACACGGCACGGAUGCAGUUCACAGACCAAAUGGGAGUGGGCGCACCUGCGGGAUGCGCCUAAGAUAUGGUCGAUCCACCUCUAACGGGGGUGCUACGGCGAGUAAGUCUGGCGAGUUGGAUGCCUACCGUCGGCACUACGACGGCUAGUCUCGCCGGACCGGAGA